CCUACGGGAGGCAGCAGUAGGGAAUAUUGCUCAAUGGGGGAAACCCUGAAGCAGCAACGCCGCGUGGAGGAUGAAGGUUUUCGGAUUGUAAACCCCUUUUGGUAGAGAAGAUAAUGACGGUAUCUAACGAAUAAGCACCGGCUAACUCCGUGCCAGCAGCCGCGGUAAUACGGAGGGUGCAAGCGUUACUCGGAAUCACUGGGCGUAAAGAGAGCGUAGGCGGGGUAGCAAGUCAGAUGUGAAAUCCUAUGGCUCAACCAUAGAACUGCAGUUGAAACUGUUAUGCUAGAGUGUGGGAGAGGUAGGUGGAAUUCUUGGUGUAGGGGUAAAAUGCGUAGAGAUCAAGAGGAACACUGAUUGCGAAGGCGGCCUGCUGGACCAUAACUGACGCUGAUGCGCGAAAGCGUGGGGAGCAAACAGGAUUAGAUACCCCAGUAGUC
Molecule: ribosomal RNA, 440 nt
Filed under: uncultured bacterium
Lineage: Bacteria
Description: partial 16S ribosomal RNA
Rfam family: Bacterial small subunit ribosomal RNA
Source: RNAcentral